UUGACUAUUCGUCUUAUUUAAAUAUUUUUACGAUUAAUAGUUUUAUUGUUACUAGAUGGUAAAACAUAAAUAAUAUUUUAUGCAUGACUAAUUUCUUUUAAGUUUUCUUACAAAAUUUUCAAAUAAGACAAAUGGUCAA
Molecule: microRNA precursor, 139 nt
Filed under: Oryza brachyantha (malo sina)
Lineage: Eukaryota; Viridiplantae; Streptophyta; Magnoliopsida; Poales; Poaceae
Description: MIR812 microRNA precursor family
Rfam family: MIR812 microRNA precursor family
Source: Rfam by way of RNAcentral